GACGAACGCUGGCGGCGUGCUUAACACAUGCAAGUCGAACGGAAAGGCCCUGCUUUUGUGGGGUGCUCGAGUGGCGAACGGGUGAGUAACACGUGAGUAACCUGCCCUUGACUUUGGGAUAACUUCAGGAAACUGGGGCUAAUACCGGAUAGGAGCUCCUGCUGCAUGGUGGGGGUUGGAAAGUUUCGGCGGUUGGGGAUGGACUCGCGGCUUAUCAGCUUGUUGGUGGGGUAGUGGCUUACCAAGGCUUUGACGGGUAGCCGGCCUGGGAGGGUGACCGGCCACAUUAGGACUGAGAUACGGCCCAGUCUCCUGCGUGAGGCAGCAGUGGGGAAUAUUGCACAGUGGGCGGAAGCCUGAUGCAGCAACGCCGCGUGCGGGAUGACGGCCUUCGGGUUGUGAACCGCUUUCGCCUGUGACGAAGCGUGAGUGACGGUAAUGGGUAAAGAAGCACCGGCUAACUACGUG
This 468-nucleotide ribosomal RNA is filed under the name uncultured bacterium. RNAcentral describes it as "partial 16S ribosomal RNA". It matches the Rfam family "Bacterial small subunit ribosomal RNA", at positions 28 to 507 of the family's 1533-position model. The record is from RNAcentral.